GACGAACGCUGGCGGCGUGCCUAAUACAUGCAAGUCGAGCGGACUUUCAAGAAGCUUGCUUUUUGAAAGUUAGCGGCGGACGGGUGAGUAACACGUGGGCAACCUGCCUGUAAGACGAGGAUAACUCCGGGAAACCGGGGCUAAUACCGGAUAAUAUCUGUCUUCGCAUGAAGGAAGGUUGAAAGGCGGAGCAAGUUGCCGCUUGCAGACGGGUCCGGGGCGCAUUAGCUGGUUGGUGAGGUAACGGCUCACCAAGGCGACGAUGCGCAGCCGACCUGAGGGGGUGAUCGGCCACGCUGGGACUGAGACACGGCCCAGACUCCUACGGGAGGCAGCAGUAGGGAAUCUUCCGCAAUGGACGAAAGUCUGACGGAGCAACGCCGCGUGAGCGAAGAAGGUCUUCGGAUCGUAAAGCUCUGUUGUCAGGGAAGAACAAGUACCGUUCGAAUAGGGCGGUACCUUGACGGUACCUGACCAGAAAGCCACGGCUAACUACGUGCCAGCCGCCGCGGUAA
This 515-nucleotide ribosomal RNA is filed under the name uncultured bacterium. RNAcentral's name for it is "partial 16S ribosomal RNA". It matches the Rfam family "Bacterial small subunit ribosomal RNA", at positions 28 to 523 of the family's 1533-position model. The record is from RNAcentral.